GAUGAACGCUGGCGGCGUGCUUAACACAUGCAAGUCGAGCGAAGCGAUUUCAAGGAAGUUUUCGGAUGGAAUUGAAAUUGACUUAGCGGCGGACGGGUGAGUAACGCGUGGGUAACCUGCCUCAUACAGGGGGAUAACAGUUGGAAACGGCUGCUAAUACCGCAUAAGCACACAGUGCCGCAUGGUACNGUGUGAAAAACUCCGGUGGUAUGAGAUGGACCCGCGUCUGAUUAGGUAGUUGGUGAGGUAACGGCCCACCAAGCCGACGAUCAGUAGCCGACCUGAGAGGGUGACCGGCCACAUUGGGACUGAGACACGGCCCAAACUCCUACGGGAGGCAGCAGUGGGGAAUAUUGGACAAUGGGGGAAACCCUGAUCCAGCGACGCCGCGUGAGUGAAGAAGUAUUUCGGUAUGUAAAGCUCUAUCAGCAGGGAAGAAAAUGACGGUACCUGACUAAGAAGCCCCGGCUAACUACGUGCCAGCAGCCGCGGUAAUACGUAAGGGGCAAGCGUUAUCCGGAUUUACUGGGUGUAAAAGGA
RNAcentral lists this ribosomal RNA (540 nucleotides) under Lacrimispora celerecrescens. Its description in RNAcentral is "bacterial SSU rRNA". It matches the Rfam family "Bacterial small subunit ribosomal RNA", at positions 28 to 568 of the family's 1533-position model. Lineage: Bacteria; Bacillati; Bacillota; Clostridia; Lachnospirales; Lachnospiraceae. The record is from RNAcentral.